RNAcentral lists this ribosomal RNA (468 nucleotides) under uncultured bacterium. RNAcentral's name for it is "partial 16S ribosomal RNA". It matches the Rfam family "Bacterial small subunit ribosomal RNA", at positions 28 to 507 of the family's 1533-position model. The record is from RNAcentral.
GACGAACGCUGGCGGCGUGCUUAACACAUGCAAGUCGAACGGAAAGGCCCUGCUUUUGUGGGGUGCUCGAGUGGCGAACGGGUGAGUAACACGUGUGUAACCUGCACCUGACUUAGGGAUAACUUCAGGAAACUGGGGCUCAUACCGGAUAGGAUCUCCUGCAGCACGGUGGGGGUUGGAAAGUUUCGGCGGUAGGGGCUGGUCUCGCGGCUUAUGAGCUUGUUGGGGGGGUAGUGAAUUACCAAGGCUUUGACGGGUAGGCGGCCUGGGAGGGUGACCGGCCACAUUGGGACUGAGAUACGGCGCAGACUCCUACGGGAGGCAGCAGUGGGGAAUAUUGCACAAUGGGCGGAAGCCUGAUGCAGCAACGCCGCGUGCGGGAUGACGGCCUUCGGGUUGUAAACCGCUUUCGCCUGUGACGAAGCGUGAGUGACGGUAAUGGGUAAAGAAGCACCGGCUAACUACGUG